This 73-nucleotide non-coding RNA is filed under the name unclassified sequences. The record is from RNAcentral.
CUCGCCGCCAGACGGGCGUAACAGCCCGCUCGGGACGAGACGACAUGUGGCCGGAGACCGGCCGAAUCGCAAG